UCGACCGUACUCUAGGGAUCAUUUCUAUAGUAUGUGUCCUCGUCAAGUUUACCCAAACUAGACAUCAACAAACCCCAGGACGAUGAGCAAUAGCGAUGCUUCCCGAGCGCGAAGCGUGCCCGUGGUUGUUGCCUCUUGGCAUCUGACCGCGUUGGCAAUUGAUGACCGUGCCGCUGGCCCUUGCAGCCUUCGGCAGGGUUGCAUCGCAAUCUGACUGGC
This is a small nucleolar RNA of Fonticula alba, 219 nucleotides long. It matches the Rfam family "Small nucleolar RNA U3". From Rfam's summary of the family: Small nucleolar RNAs (snoRNAs) are involved in the processing and modification of rRNA in the nucleolus. There are two main classes of snoRNAs: the box C/D class, and the box H/ACA class. The record is from Rfam. NCBI's taxonomy places the organism in Eukaryota, Rotosphaerida, Fonticulaceae.